Salvelinus namaycush (lake trout) is the source of this 524-nucleotide long non-coding RNA. RefSeq lists it as uncharacterized. NCBI's taxonomy places the organism in Eukaryota, Metazoa, Chordata, Actinopteri, Salmoniformes, Salmonidae. The transcript is spliced from 3 exons. The record is from RefSeq and is a predicted model, not a curated record.
GUCGCCCUCCUGUCCGGAGAUGCCCCUCAGUCCAGAGGCGCCCCUCAGUCCAGUGGUGCCCUUUUCUCAAAUCCAGGGUCGGUGACGAGGGUCUCCGCUCCUAAGCUAAAGCUGGUGACCCUCUGUUUGAGCUGUAUGACAAUGCACCAGGCUACUGGCCAAUCAUAUCCAGUCGCCCACAGCUUGUGAGCAGGUUCAACUUAAUUUACAAUUAAAUCCCAACAACCUGAGUGUGGCGACCAAGGACUGUCUCUGUGAGUUCAGUCUGGGCAGAGGAAAAGGGGCAAGCAGAAUUUCACUACACCUACCUUUAAACAGAGUGCCCUAUGGUACUAAACAUUUGAAUAUCGAUCUGUAUAGAAAAUAAGAUCAUGUUAUUAAUCUUUUUCUGUCAACUUUUUUAUUCUUACAGAAUUAUAACUUUGUGACAUGAAACCUUUUGUAUUAACACAAAAGUAUACUUUUUAUGUUGGUGUAGAUGUUAACAAAAUAAAACAGUGUGCUUUUGGGUUUUUAAUCAUUGU